CAUUUGUCUUUGAGGUAUGAUAGUUUUCAUCCAUAAAUUCUUUGCAUUCAUGGAGUUCCCAAAUUUCUCUGUUUCAAAGUUAGAAUUCCCAAAUUGAGUUAGGGUUUUCUUCAAUUAUCAUGGCUUCUUUUCAUUAUUGAUUUAAAUGAUUGAAUUAUGAUAUUUUAUGCAUGAAUUGAUGAAGUACUAUGAUUUUAUGAUGAUUCCUCCAUGAACCCAUGUAAUCUCCAUGGUUUCAAGUUAUGAGCAUAUGAUGUGGGAUUUUGAUUAUAAAUGAAGAAUUUUAUGAAAUUAAGCAUGUAUUGCUAGCUUUACAUGAAUUUAUAAUGAAAUCCAUAUCUAACCCAUGUUUUUAAAUGUUGAUGAUUGAAAAGUGGGGUUUUGAACCUUGAAAGGUAAAUUAUGGAAUUAUGCAUAUUCUUAUGAAAUAUAUGCAAAUGUUUUAAGGAUGCUUUGAGAGUAAAGUCUUAAUGAUGAUGAUCAUUAUUGAAAGGAUUUUCUCAUAUACACAUAAAAGCAAGAUGUGAAAGGUUUUCUCACAUAAUAAGGAUUCUAAGGUUGAAAGGUUUUCUCAUUUAAUUGAAACAAAGAUUAAGAGCUACCCAAAUGAACACAGCUUGGAUUGGUUAUUGAAAGAUAUCUUUGCAUGGAUGAUGACUUAGCUUGGAUUGGAUAGAUGGCGUGCCUUUCCAUGGAUAAUAAGAAUAAGAAGAAAUGACUAUUCUGUGGGAUUUAUGCUUAGCAUCGACAGGAUAUUGAGAUGAAGUCUCCCAUCAGUAGAGGCCAGGUUUCUAGAAGCAAUUUCUCUAUCCCUUACAUAUGUGCCCUUAUAGGAUGAUUGUAUAGAUAGACAUUAUCUAGUGGAUCCAUUUUGGUUCAGAUUUAUGGUCCUUACCUUGGCAAGUAGGACAGCCCUUUUCGGUGUGGGAGACACCGGGGAUCAUGUUAUAGCUCACAUAGUCUCUAUAUUUGUUAAGGCUAAUCUCCCACAUUAAUAAUGAACUAAGGUUAUUUCUAAAAGUAUCUCAUAUGUGUUUAAAGGCUUUAUAUGAUGUUAGGUUGCAUUGACUAUGGUUUUAUGACUUGUGUUUUCUAACUCUCUUAUAUCAUGUUUUAGCUUGGUCAAUUGCAUGUCAUGAAAUGAAAUGUCCAUUUUUAGCAUGAUUUAAAUGUUUAAUGCAUAUCUAUCAUAAUUGGUACAUUUUUUUGUACUAACACAUACUCUUGCCUACAUUCCCCAAAUGUAGGGUUCGACAGUCAGAUUUCUCAGUUUCGUGGCUAGUGGUUGAUUUCAAAAUUUCUGAGCUUUGGUGAGUCCUCAUGCUUCGAGGACGGAUUUUCAUUGUUCCACUUUAUUUCAUGUAUUUCACUUUUGGACAUGAUGUAUGGGCUAGUGUAAUAAUGACCCAAAUGGCUAUUUUAGAAAUUUUCAAAAAAAUUACUAUUUCAC
RNAcentral lists this long non-coding RNA (1450 nucleotides) under Solanum tuberosum (potato). RNAcentral describes it as "long non-coding RNA (STUB_LNC002544)". Lineage: Eukaryota; Viridiplantae; Streptophyta; Magnoliopsida; Solanales; Solanaceae. The record is from RNAcentral.